AUUGAACGCUGGCGGAAUGCUUUACACAUGCAAGUCGAACGGCAGCACGGACUUCGGUCUGGUGGCGAGUGGCGAACGGGUGAGUAAUGUAUCGGAACGUGCCCAGUCGUGGGGGAUAACGUAGUGAAAAUUACGCUAAUACCGCAUACGAUCUAUGGAUGAAAGCGGGGGAUCGCAAGACCUCGCGCGAUUGGAGCGGCCGAUAUCAGAUUAGGUAGUUGGUGGGGUAAAGGCCCACCAAGCCAACGAUCUGUAGCUGGUCUGAGAGGACGACCAGCCACACAGGAACUGAGACACGGGCCAGACUCCUACUGGAGGCAGCAGUGGGGAAUUUUGGACAAUGGGCGAAAGCCUGAUCCAGCCAUUCCGCGUGCAGGAUGAAGGCCCUCGGGUUGUAAACUGCUUUUGUACAGAACGAAAAGGUUUCUACUAAUACUAGGAGCUCAUGACGGUACUGUAAGAAUAAGCACCGGCUAACUACGUGCCAGCCGCCGCGGUAA
This 500-nucleotide ribosomal RNA is filed under the name uncultured bacterium. Its description in RNAcentral is "partial 16S ribosomal RNA". It matches the Rfam family "Bacterial small subunit ribosomal RNA", at positions 30 to 523 of the family's 1533-position model. The record is from RNAcentral.